This 254-nucleotide ribosomal RNA is filed under the name uncultured bacterium. RNAcentral's name for it is "partial 16S ribosomal RNA". It matches the Rfam family "Bacterial small subunit ribosomal RNA", at positions 524 to 776 of the family's 1533-position model. The record is from RNAcentral.
GACGUAGGGCGCGAGCGUUGUCCGGAUUUAUUGGGCGUAAAGAGCUCGUAGGCGGCUUGUCGCGUCGACUGUGAAAUCCCGAGGCUCAACUUCGGACUUGCAGUGGGUACGGGCAGACUAGAGUGUGGUAGGGGAGACUGGAAUUCCUGGUGUAGCGGUGAAAUGCGCAGAUAUCAGGAGGAACACCGGUGGCGAAGGCGGGUCUCUGGGCAGUAACUGACGCUGGAGGAGCGAAAAGCGUGGGAGCGAACAGG